UACGUAGGGGGCAAGCGUUAUCCGGAUUUACUGGGUGUAAAGGGAGCGUAGGCGGCUUAGUAAGUCAGAAGUGAAAGCCCGCAGCUCAACUGCGGGACUGCUUUUGAAACUGCCAGGCUAGAGUGUCGGAGAGGUAUGCGGAAUGCGCAGUGUAGCGGUGAAAUGCUUAGAUAUUAGGAGGAACACCAGUGGCGAAGGCGGCUUACUGGACGAUGACUGACGCUGAGGCUCGAAAGCGUGGGGAGCAAACAGG
This 253-nucleotide ribosomal RNA is filed under the name uncultured Eubacteriales bacterium. Its description in RNAcentral is "uncultured Clostridiales bacterium partial 16S ribosomal RNA". It matches the Rfam family "Bacterial small subunit ribosomal RNA", at positions 524 to 776 of the family's 1533-position model. Lineage: Bacteria; Bacillati; Bacillota; Clostridia; Eubacteriales. The record is from RNAcentral.